This 316-nucleotide RNase P RNA is filed under the name Chloroflexota bacterium. RNAcentral describes it as "RNase P RNA component class A". It matches the Rfam family "Bacterial RNase P class A". From Rfam's summary of the family: Ribonuclease P (RNase P) is a ubiquitous endoribonuclease, found in archaea, bacteria and eukarya as well as chloroplasts and mitochondria. Its best characterised activity is the generation of mature 5'-ends of tRNAs by cleaving the 5'-leader elements of precursor-tRNAs. Lineage: Bacteria; Bacillati; Chloroflexota. The record is from RNAcentral.
GGAGGCGGCCGGACGGCCGCGGGCGCGAUCGUCGAAAGGCGGCGCUCGAGGAAAGUCCGGGCUCCAUAGAGCAGGCUCGCGGGUAACGCCCGUCCGCCGUGAGGCGAGGACCAGCGCCACAGUGACGAUGCCCGCGCAAGCGGGAGUGAAACGCGGCAAGCUCGAGCCGGAGCAAGACCGAAUAGGAGGGCGACGCCGGCGUUCGCGCCGCAGCAGGUGGCUCGCUCCGCCCUCGGGUAGGUCGCUCAGAUGGAUGGCCGUCGCGGCACCGUUGCGGUGCCGGCACAGAACCCGGCUUACAGGCCGCUCUCCAGGG